GUCUAUGGCCAUGCCACCCUGAACGUGCCCGAUCUUGUCUGAUCUCAGAAGCUAAACGGGGUCAGGCCUAGUUAGUACUUGGAUGGGAGACCACCUAGGAAUACCAGGUGCUGUAAGCA
Molecule: ribosomal RNA, 119 nt
Filed under: Pteropus alecto (black flying fox)
Lineage: Eukaryota; Metazoa; Chordata; Mammalia; Chiroptera; Pteropodidae
Source: RNAcentral